This 821-nucleotide long non-coding RNA is filed under the name Phasianus colchicus (ring-necked pheasant). Its description in RNAcentral is "lncRNA (ENSPCLG00000016331.1)". Lineage: Eukaryota; Metazoa; Chordata; Aves; Galliformes; Phasianidae. The record is from RNAcentral.
GGGGCUUUUUCGGGCUUUUUUGGGCUUUUUGAGGUUUUUUGUGGUUUAAUUUGUGGCCAUUUAGGGGAUAUUUAUGAGGAUUUUGGGGCCAUUUUUGGGUAUUUUUGAGGAGAUUUUGGGGUUUAUUUUGGGGUCAUUUUUGGGAUUUUUGGUGGAUUUUGGGCAAUUUUGGGCGAUUUUGGGAUCAUUUGGGGGCAUUUUUGGGAAAUUUUGGAGGUUAUUUUUGUGAUUUUUGGGGUAAUUUUGGGGUAUUUUGGGACAUUUUCGGUUUUGGGGGGAAAUUUAGGAGAUUUGGGGGCAUUUGUGGCCAUUUUUGUCUUUUUUUGAGCCUAUUUUGGGGCAUUUUGGGCUAUUUAUGAGAUUUUGGGGGUUAUUUUGGGGCGAUUUUGGGGAUUUUUGGUGGAUUUGGGGACAAUUUAGGGCGAUUUUGGGAUUAAUUGGGGCUUUUUAGGGCAAUUUGUGGGGUUAUUUUUGUGAUUUUUGGGGUAAUUUUGGGGUAUUUGGGGAAGAUUUUCAUUUUUUGGAGGAAAUUUAGGAGAUUUUGGGGCACUUGUGGCCAUUUUUGUCUUUUUUUGAGCCAAUUUUGGGGUUAUUUUGGGGCAUUUGGGGCUAUUUAUGAGAUUUUGGGGGUUAUUUUGGGGUCAUUUUGGGGAUUUUUGGUGGAUUUUGGGGCGAUUUUGGGCGAUUUUGGGAUCAUUUGGGGCUUUUUAGAGCAUUUUUGUGGGUAUUUUUGUGAUUUUUUGGGGGUUAUUUUGGGGCAUUUUUGGGUUUUUUUGGGUCAUUUUUGUGCUUUUUUGGGGGCGUUUUGGGGUUUGGGGUAA